AGUGGGAUAGCUGGGUCAAAUGGUGGUUCCAUUCCAAGAUUUCUAAGGAAUCUUUAUACUGCUGUCCAGAUUGGUUGCACCAAUUUGCAGUCCCAUUAGCAAU
Molecule: microRNA precursor, 103 nt
Filed under: Marmota monax (woodchuck)
Lineage: Eukaryota; Metazoa; Chordata; Mammalia; Rodentia; Sciuridae
Source: RNAcentral